UGUAUGCAUUCACUGUAAGUCGCUCUGGUUAAGAGCGUCUGCUAAAUGACUAAAA
Salmo salar (Atlantic salmon) is the source of this 55-nucleotide non-coding RNA. The record is from Rfam. NCBI's taxonomy places the organism in Eukaryota, Metazoa, Chordata, Actinopteri, Salmoniformes, Salmonidae.